Alligator sinensis (Chinese alligator) is the source of this 2081-nucleotide long non-coding RNA. RefSeq lists it as uncharacterized. Lineage: Eukaryota; Metazoa; Chordata; Crocodylia; Alligatoridae. The transcript is spliced from 4 exons. The record is from RefSeq and is a predicted model, not a curated record.
AUCCUGUCUCUGGCAACUACAAGGGACACUAUCCUUCCAUCCCCAUCCUUUUUAUAAACACCUUUCAGGGCUACUUCCUGUUUGUCUGCAUUGUCGUUUAAGGGUGGUACCCAAAAGUGGACACAGUACUCCAGGGCGCCUGAUUCUUCUUGUGUGAUAUUCCAGUACUUCUCUGUGUGGAUAGUGACUCCCAAAUUUGGGCCAUCGGCAAACUGCAUCAGCAUGCUUUGUCUGGGGAAGGUAACCUGCCUUUGCUCCCAUGUUCAUCAUCAACAACAACUAUAAUGAAAAGAGAGGCAAAGUAUUUGUUUGCUUUUGGGGCCAUACUUAGACAGUACAAGCCGUGUACCUCAUCAGCUUAUGUUUGACAUCUAAAACAGGGAACCCCUGCCCCUGUUACAAGGAUGGCUGCGGAGAGGGCAGGCAGUUAAAAGGACAGCAGAGGUAUAUCUAACCAAGGCCUGGCAGCUAAUGAGCAACUGGAUGCACCAGGCUGUUGGGUGCAGCAAAUCAGUUAGGUGAUUGUAAGGGGAUUGGGUUAAGGGCUUUAAGACCAGCCUAGGGUCAGGCGGUGGGAGAGAGGAGCUCUGAAGAUGGACAUAUACCUGAGCCACUCAAGGAAGUUGGGGAGAAGGCUCCUGAGCAGGUAAGGCCUGCAGGCAACAUUCACAGGAGGAAAGAGACUACUCGUUUUUUUUGGAAGCAGUUGGUUUGUGUUUUGUUUGGUCCGGACUUGUUACCGGAGGAUCAGGCUGUGAUACAGGGGUGGAGGAGCCCACGAACAGGGGUGCUGAGUGUGCUUCUGGCUAUAGGGGUCAGGAGAUAGCCCCAAGUUGAGAAGCAGAGACUGACACAUGGAGACAAAACCCCACCCCUAAAAAGGGAGGCUGCCAUUAAGGCAAAACCUCAGAGGCUGAGGUCUUAUUCAGUGGAGCAAGGCAGGGGUGUGGCCUGAGAAAAAAAAGGGGACUUGGGCUAGGAUAGCUGAAGCCCAAAUGAGCCCGCAGAAACCCAUGAGAGCACUGGGUGAAGGGCUGGACAGAGGACCCAGGCAGGGUGGCCGACCUGAUCAGAUGGACCAGGCUACUCAUGAGGCUGCUACUGGUCUGAGGAAUUCCCACUCUCCAACAGCAAAGUUGUAGCAGACAAGAAACUGGAGGUACGAGAAGGCUGGAAAAGGGGCAGAUGCUACCUCGGUUAUACUAUGCACUUCCCUUCUUUCCAAUCCAUCUGUCCCACAUGGAGAAAACUCUUAUUGCCCCAAAGCCUCUGCUUGUCAUCCUCUGCUGCAAAAUCUUACAUGGAUUGUCAAUGAAUUCUAUGCUCUGGGAGGAUAUACUUGUAGCAGCCAGACAGGCAUUUAUUUAGCACAACUUCUUAAGGCCUAGAGAGGAUUAACCUGUGUGUAGUCAGAAUACUGACAUGGUAACACUUCAGCGAUAGUUGGUAGAAAAUUAAAAAAGGGAUUCAUCCUGCCCUUGGAGACUUCAGGGAUACGGAGCCUUUCACCUUUGGGAUAACAGUGUCAUUUCAAGCAGAUGAUUGGUGGAUUAUGGUGAAGUGAGCAGGGCAGGGCUUUGGAAAGCAGCUUCCCCUCAAACAGACAUUACCAAAGUCAUUACCAUUUCCCUUUGCCUCUUGGAUGCUUUUAGGUACAUGAAUCACAGAGGCCCAAAGCAUCACAAAUAAGUUUUACAAUUGUCUAAGCAGAAUUUUAAUUUGCUCCUACGCAGGGUCAAAUAAAAACACGAUAAUGUCCUGGUCUGUGACUGUGGAUCCUUGUUUCCAUCACUGUAGCACCAAACAGACAACAUGCAGAGGAACAUGUUGCACACUUUCUGGAAUGACUGGAGGGUUGUGAGAGGUAAGACAGGUGCCCCAAGAGAUACAGGAAUGCAACACACCUCCCACAUUGUCUAACUUGUGCUGCAUCACAAGUGCCUUCACUCCGAGCUUACACUCCUGGCUGAUGGUUGUCAACCAUGCAGGCUCUUGGCACAUCCACAGCCAAUGCUGGGUGAAGGUUGCGCACUCCAGGAUGAGUGAGGGGACACUAGCACCAGGGGGAGGAGUGACUAUUG